GUUACCUACGGGGCAGCAGGCGCUGGAGUGUGUGGUGGGCGAGCGUUGUCAGGGGUGAAGGGGCGUAAGGCGCGUGCAGGGGGCGAAGUACGCCCGGCGGGAAAGCCGCCGGCUGAGCCUGGGGGGGGCGUCGGGGACGGAGGGGCGUGAGGGUCGCAGGGGCUGGUGGAAUUCCCGGUGUAGUGGUGAAAUGCGUAGAGAUCGGGAGGAACACCCGUGGCGAAGGCGGCCAGCUGGGCGACACCUGACACUGAGACGCGAAGGCGUGGGGAGCGAACGGGAUUAGAUACCCUUGUAGUC
Molecule: ribosomal RNA, 300 nt
Filed under: uncultured Bacillus sp.
Lineage: Bacteria; Bacillati; Bacillota; Bacilli; Caryophanales; Bacillaceae
Description: bacterial SSU rRNA
Rfam family: Bacterial small subunit ribosomal RNA
Source: RNAcentral